This 243-nucleotide ribosomal RNA is filed under the name Escherichia coli. RNAcentral's name for it is "partial 16S ribosomal RNA". It matches the Rfam family "Bacterial small subunit ribosomal RNA", at positions 1284 to 1526 of the family's 1533-position model. Lineage: Bacteria; Pseudomonadati; Pseudomonadota; Gammaproteobacteria; Enterobacterales; Enterobacteriaceae. The record is from RNAcentral.
CGUCGUAGUCCGGAUUGGAGUCUGCAACUCGACUCCAUGAAGUCGGAAUCGCUAGUAAUCGUGGAUCAGAAUGCCACGGUGAAUACGUUCCCGGGCCUUGUACACACCGCCCGUCACACCAUGGGAGUGGGUUGCAAAAGAAGUAGGUAGCUUAACCUUCGGGAGGGCGCUUACCACUUUGUGAUUCAUGACUGGGGUGAAGUCGUAACAAGGUAACCGUAGGGGAACCUGCGGUUGGAUCAC